GUCCACGCCGUAAACGAUGGAUGCUAGGUGUUGGGGGUAUUGACCCCUCCAGCGCCGCAGUUAACGCAUUAAGCAUCCCGCCUGGGGAGUACGGCCGCAAGGCUAAAACUCAAAGGAAUUGACGGGGGCCCCGCACAAGCGGUGGAGCAUGUGGUUUAAUUCGACGCAACGCGCAGAACCUUACCUGGGUUAAAUCCACCGGAACCUUGCAGAGAUGUAGGGGUGCCCUUCGGGGAAUCGGUGAGAAGGUGCUGCAUGGCUGUCGU
RNAcentral lists this ribosomal RNA (266 nucleotides) under uncultured bacterium. Its description in RNAcentral is "partial 16S ribosomal RNA". It matches the Rfam family "Bacterial small subunit ribosomal RNA", at positions 793 to 1055 of the family's 1533-position model. The record is from RNAcentral.